GUUUUGGAUCAUACUGGUGAUAGGAUGGCUGGCUUAUUUGUUGUCCCAUUUGUUAUCAUCUUUCUAUAUUUUUAUGAAUUUUCUCCUGUCUCCUUGUCCUGUGUAAAAGAAGGAAGAGCUUUGAUGCAGUUCCAAUACAAUAAGGCUAACAUCAGAUGGAGCAGCAGCAAGAUGGAUUUUGAAGACAGAUGUUGCACUGGAAAACAAAGUCAGGGUUUCUUUUAACUGCAAGACAUUGGUCCUUUGACUUGUGUGAAGCAAUGGGGACAGCUAGUGGACAACUGGCUGAAUCACAGGGAAAUACUUCCCAUGAAAGUCUCAGUGGACACAUCCCUUAUUCUACAUUUCAAAAUUCUUGGACAUGCUGUGCUUUGAAUUUUUAACACCUCACACUGGGCUGGAUCUCCUCAGGCUGUGCCUUUUUGAGUGAAGAGCAGAGCCGUGCAAAUCCGCGGAUAUCUGCGGACCAUUUUUGUGGAUUGCGGACCAGAUGCAGAUACAAAUUUUGUAUUCACACAGGGCUCUAGUCAAGAGACUUCUAACUGAGCAGCCUGUGUUAGGAGCCAAAACUGUUCAGUGAACCCACAAAAGCCUUUAAGCCAUUUAUUUUGACAGUGUCUUUGCUGAUGGAAGCCAUUCAGACAAAUCCCAGUGUAAGUUGGAAGCAUAUGUGAGUUCAGUGUUGGCGUGAAACCUCCAGUGUCACCCUGAAAGAAGAAACUCUGAAGUGUCUUGUGUAGGUGGUUUGUAAAUGUACAGCUGUUGCUUAAAUUGCACAGCAUCUGCAAAGUGAAGCAAAAGCCUGAUUUAAAAAUAGAAAUGUGUGGGCGGUGAAACAAAAAUCUGCCUCUUGUGGAAGGUACCAUACCUCUCUCCGUCACACGACUGCCUCUAUUUGUUGCAGCCUAAGUUUUCUAAUUUUCUGGAAGCUGGGAGUCAGAUGUUCAGUAACCUAGAUCUAAUCCUCAGAACAUCAGGGGUGUCACACAAGCAAAAAAAUACAGAGGCAAAACAUUUUGUUUUUUUGGAAAGACAUGUCCCAGAGAGCUCUCUGCUUUGCUUCAGAGGAGCAGAGAGAAGGGGCUGCAACAUUUUUUUUGCAUAAGUACAA
Molecule: long non-coding RNA, 1111 nt
Organism: Mauremys reevesii (Reeves's turtle)
Lineage: Eukaryota; Metazoa; Chordata; Testudines; Geoemydidae
Exons: 6
Source: RefSeq, a predicted model, not a curated record